CAGGAAAGGAGAGGGAGCUUUCCCCGAAGACCCUCCUGGACCAGCCCCAGGCUCCUGUGCUGGUGAGGCCGAGGGAGAGGGAUGUGGGCAUAGGACACGUAGCAGGAUUUCCAUUUUAGAGGCAGCCGGACCUGUCUUCAGGUCCCUUCCUUGGUGAGAGACAGGGGUACGCCAGAGGAAGCUGGGCGCUCGGCCUCUGUGCAGCCUCAUCUCCUGGAAUCUGAGUAUUGAAAACUGGGCUUUUACUUCGCACACCUCAGCACAGACUCCCAUGGGAAUCCAGGUCACAGCAAAGCAGCCCUGGGCCUCCAUUCUCCUUUAAGCAAGCAUGACAAUCCUCACUUCACUGAGUUUUUAUUAAAACUAGCAAUGACCUUAGAAAGCAAGGCAUGACCUCAGCUCCACUUUUGAGGCUGCAGUCCAUUCAGAGAGGUUUCGCAGACUCGGUAACGGCCAGAACAGACAGCCUGGGCCCUGCCGCAGGCUGACUCAGAAUCUUUGGGAGUAGUGACCAACUUCUGCUUUUGGAAAAACCUCUACAGGCGGUUCUGAGAAGUCCAAGGGUUGCUGGGAGAGGUUGGUUGCACGCCAGGGCCUGUACUGACCACCUCCACGUGCCACUGGGGCUGUAAGGAGGAAUGGCGGCCGUGGGCAGCCUGCUUGGCCGGCUGAGGCAGAGCACCGUGAAGGCCACCGGACCUGCACUCCGCCGCCUGCACACAUCCUCCUGGCGAGCUGACAGCAGCAGGGCCUCACUCACUCGUGUG
This 767-nucleotide long non-coding RNA is filed under the name Homo sapiens (human). Its description in RNAcentral is "non-protein coding lnc-C1orf35-2:8". The record is from RNAcentral. Lineage: Eukaryota; Metazoa; Chordata; Mammalia; Primates; Hominidae.